UUUCCAUCAACUGGACAGAGUCAGGGUGGCCAUGAAGGAGAGGUGACACAUUAGAAAGGAACAGUUUCCCAUUGAAAUGGUACAUCUUGACUGCGCCUUUGCCUGUGUAUUGGCAAAAAUCCCCACUACUUCUACAAGAUGGAAUGGUGGAGAAACCAGGAAAUUUCUUUUGCACAGCUCCAAGGUGAUCUUGGCACCUGACCACGAGGAAGUGGACAAGGCUCUUGCAACCGGAAUCAGUUUUUCACGGGAGAUGUUAAAUCGAGCUGGAUUGUACCAUGUCUGUCGUCAGACCUUCCCGAAGCCUCUACACAGGUGCCUCCUGGCUACUUCCUGCAUCAACAAAACCACAGAAGGUCAGUUUAUUCAGAAUAAAGAUGGUUCAUUUCUGGGGGUAGAGGUUUGUAGGGAUGUUACUAGGAGGAGUGUAGCACAAGUCCCAGGUGAGCCUGAACUGAGUGCAGUUUAGGACCCUUGCACAGGGCGACCAAAGGCAGAUUUUUUUUUUUUAUACAAGCAAACCUCCCAGGGAAACAACCAUGGAGAAGGAAAGCUGGCACAUGGGUGAACCAACACUAUCACAGGUAUAGGUGAGAAAGAGCCGCUGUUAUGUCUGUCACUCAGCAUGUCGCUUAGCCUCAGAGGACACAAGACCAAACACAGGAGAAAAUCAGGCAUUACUUGGAAGAGAAGUAUUUUCUCAGAGUCUGAAAAACGGAGAGCUCAGUAUUCUUAUAAUGGAGCAUGAGUGGGGACUGUCCCCUACCUGUACAGAAAAGUGACAGCCCAGCCUAGUUGUCUACUGGAGGCAUGCAGCACAGGGCGGCCUCCAUAGCACCUGCAACCUUGGACCUCACAGAGGGCUUUAACCCAGCAAGACUCUCAUAUAGUGCACACUCAAUCAUCAUUGUCAGGGCUUGUGCCAGAGCGACAAGGAAGGGACCUCCAUGAGAUCUGAUAAGCCUGAAGCUUGAGUAUCACACUUCAACACAAAAGACAGAAAUAAAAAUGGCAAUAAUUGUGUGGCA
RNAcentral lists this long non-coding RNA (1028 nucleotides) under Oryctolagus cuniculus (rabbit). Its description in RNAcentral is "lncRNA (ENSOCUG00000031356.1)". The record is from RNAcentral. Lineage: Eukaryota; Metazoa; Chordata; Mammalia; Lagomorpha; Leporidae.